ACCCAAUAAAGUUAAAUCUUGGGCUACGCUGUAGAAAGCUUUAGCCCGGACAAAAAUAAACCACGAAGGUGACUUUAGACGAUCCGACCACACGACAGCUAAGACACAAACUGGGAUUAGAUACCCCACUAUGCUUAGCCCUAAACCUAAGCAGCUAAAUAACAAUGCUACUCGCCAGAGUACUACUAGCAACAGCUUAAAACUCAAAGGACUUGGCGGUGCUUUAUAUCCCUCUAGAGGAGCCUGUUCUGUAAUCGAUAAACCCCGAUAAACCUCACCAACUCUUGCUAAUACAGCCUAUAUACCGCCAUCUUCAGCAAACCCUAAAAAGGAAAUAAAGUAAGCAAAAUCAUAAAACAUAAAAACGUUAGGUCAAGGUGUAGCCCAUGAGUUGGAAAGAAAUGGGCUACAUUUUCUAGCAUAGAACAUCGACGAAAAUUUCCGUGAAACCGGAAAUAGAAGGAGGAUUUAGUAGUAAAUUAAGAACAGAGAGCUUAAUUGAAUUAGGCCAUGAAGCACGCACACACCGCCCGUCACCCUCCUCAAGUAUAAAGAUACAAUGCCCAAUCCUAUUAAUAAAUGUACACACACAUGAGAGGAGAUAAGUCGUAACAAGGUAAGCGUACUGGAAAGUGCGCUUGGACAAAUCAAAGUGUAGCUUAUGCAAAGCACCUGGCCUACACCCAGAAGAUUCCAUACAACAAUGGCCACUUUGAACAAAUGCUAGCCCAUGCAAAUAUAAACUCAACUAAUAAUACAAAAUAAAAUAAAACAUUUACCCUAACUAAAGUAUAGGAGAUAGAAAUU
Molecule: ribosomal RNA, 807 nt
Filed under: Pteropus pumilus
Lineage: Eukaryota; Metazoa; Chordata; Mammalia; Chiroptera; Pteropodidae
Description: partial 12S ribosomal RNA
Rfam family: Bacterial small subunit ribosomal RNA (bases 1-654)
Source: RNAcentral